CGAACGGGGUCGGAACUUCGGUUCCGGCUUACGUGGCGCACGGGUGAGUAACACGUGGGAAUCUGCCCAUCUAUGGGGAAUAACUGCGGGAAACUGCAGCUAAUACCGCAUACGCCCUUCGGGGGAAAGGCUUCGGCCGUAGAUGGAUGAGCCCGCGUCCGAUUAGCUAGUUGGUGGGGUAAUGGCCUACCAAGGCGACGAUCGGUAGCUGGUCUGAGAGGAUGAUCAGCCACACUGGGACUGAGACACGGCCCAGACUCCUACGGGAGGCAGCAGUGGGGAAUAUUGGACAAUGGGCGAAAGCCUGAUCCAGCAAUGCCGCGUGAGUGAUGAAGGUCUUCGGAUUGUAAAGCUCUUUCGACGGGGAAGAUAAUGACGGUACCCGUAGAAGAAGCCCCGGCUAACUUCGUGCCAGCAGCCGCGGUAAUACGAAGGGGGCUAGCGUUGUUCGGAUUUACUGGGCGUAAAGCGUGCGUAGGCGGCUUAUCAAGUCAGAAGUGAAAGCCCGGGGCUCAACUCCGGAAUGGCUUUUGAGACUGGUAGGCUGGAGUUCGGGAGAGGGUAGUGGAAUUCCCAGUGUAGAGGUGAAAUUCGUAGAUAUUCGGAGGAACACCAGUGGC
This 620-nucleotide ribosomal RNA is filed under the name uncultured bacterium. Its description in RNAcentral is "bacterial SSU rRNA". It matches the Rfam family "Bacterial small subunit ribosomal RNA", at positions 63 to 716 of the family's 1533-position model. The record is from RNAcentral.